AGGAACCUCCGAGCAAGUGAAGUCUUUGAGAUUGUAUCUCCGAGCAACUGUAAAGGUUUGUUAAGCACCCGUAAGCUUAACAAGUUAGUAGAAAAUCUUGAGAGAGUCUCUCGGGGACUGGACUAACCACUGUUGUGGCCAAGCAGGAUAUAUCCUUGUGUAAAUUAUUUUGAUUGCACUUAUUUACUUCCUGUAAAAAUUUAAAUUCCGCAAGAAAACGCUAAAUUUCAUUAAAACGCU
RNAcentral lists this long non-coding RNA (240 nucleotides) under Nicotiana benthamiana. RNAcentral describes it as "long non-coding RNA (NBEN_LNC029042)". Lineage: Eukaryota; Viridiplantae; Streptophyta; Magnoliopsida; Solanales; Solanaceae. The record is from RNAcentral.